UACGUAGGUGGCGAGCGUUGUCCGGAUUUAUUGGGUUUAAAGGGUGCGUAGGCGGCCGUGUAAGUCAGUGCUGAAAUAUUCCAGCUUAACUGGGAGGGUGGCAUUGAUACUGCGUGGCUAGAGUACAGAUGAGGUAGGCGGAAUUGACGGUGUAGCGGUGAAAUGCUUAGAUAUCGUCAAGAACACCUAUAGCGAAGGCAGCUUACUAGGCUGUAACUGACGCUGAGGCACGAAAGUGUGGGGAUCAAACAGGAUUAGAAACCCCCGUAGUCC
Molecule: ribosomal RNA, 273 nt
Filed under: uncultured bacterium
Lineage: Bacteria
Description: partial 16S ribosomal RNA
Rfam family: Bacterial small subunit ribosomal RNA
Source: RNAcentral